UUAACUUAUUUGUGUUUGCUCGAGAUGCCAACGCAAAGAGACAGAAUGGUAGGCUGCCGGCGGGCGCAGCGCCCCGGGGAGACCCGGAGCACCCGCCGAAGCAACGUGCUUUGUAGUAAAUUCACAGGGGUUAUAGGAGUCUUGCGAGUCCAGUAAUGAUCCCUCCGCUGGUUCACCAACGGAGA
RNAcentral lists this unclassified non-coding RNA (185 nucleotides) under uncultured fungus. RNAcentral describes it as "sequence contains ITS1". The record is from RNAcentral. Lineage: Eukaryota; Fungi.